This 253-nucleotide ribosomal RNA is filed under the name uncultured bacterium. Its description in RNAcentral is "partial 16S ribosomal RNA". It matches the Rfam family "Bacterial small subunit ribosomal RNA", at positions 524 to 776 of the family's 1533-position model. The record is from RNAcentral.
UACGUAGGGACCAAGCGUUGUUCGGAUUUACUGGGCGUAAAGGGCGCGUAGGCGGCGAAUCAAGUCAGCUGUGAAAUCUCCGAGCUUAACUCGGAACGGUCAGCUGAUACUGUUUUGCUAGAGUGCAGAAAGGGCAACCGGAAUUCUUGGUGUAGCGGUGAAAUGCGUAGAUAUCAAGAGGAACACCUGAGGCGAAGGCGGGUUGCUAGGCUGGCACUGACGCUGAAGCGCGAAAGCUAGGGUAGCAAACGGG